RNAcentral lists this ribosomal RNA (1138 nucleotides) under Salmonella enterica. Its description in RNAcentral is "partial 23S ribosomal RNA". It matches the Rfam family "Bacterial large subunit ribosomal RNA", at positions 1058 to 2179 of the family's 2925-position model. Lineage: Bacteria; Pseudomonadati; Pseudomonadota; Gammaproteobacteria; Enterobacterales; Enterobacteriaceae. The record is from RNAcentral.
GUUAAGUGGGAAACGAUGUGGGAAGGCCCAGACAGCCAGGAUGUUGGCUUAGAAGCAGCCAUCAUUUAAAGAAAGCGUAAUAGCUCACUGGUCGAGUCGGCCUGCGCGGAAGAUGUAACGGGGCUAAACUAUGCACCGAAGCUGCGGCAGCGACACUAUGUGUUGUUGGGUAGGGGAGCGUUCUGUAAGCCUGUGAAGGUGUGUCGUGAGGCAUGCUGGAGGUAUCAGAAGUGCGAAUGCUGACAUAAGUAACGAUAAAGCGGGUGAAAAGCCCGCUCGCCGGAAGACCAAGGGUUCCUGUCCAACGUUAAUCGGGGCAGGGUGAGUCGACCCCUAAGGCGAGGCCGAAAGGCGUAGUCGAUGGGAAACGGGUUAAUAUUCCCGUACUUGGUGUUACUGCGAAGGGGGGACGGAGAAGGCUAUGUUGGCCGGGCGACGGUUGUCCCGGUUUAAGCGUGUAGGUGUGUGUUCCAGGUAAAUCCGGUUCACUUUAACACUGAGGCGUGAUGACGAGGCACUACGGUGCUGAAGCAACAAAUGCCCUGCUUCCAGGAAAAGCCUCUAAGCAUCAGGUAACAUCAAAUCGUACCCCAAACCGACACAGGUGGUCAGGUAGAGAAUACCAAGGCGCUUGAGAGAACUCGGGUGAAGGAACUAGGCAAAAUGGUGCCGUAACUUCGGGAGAAGGCACGCUGACACGUAGGUGAAGUGAUUUACUCAUGGAGCUGAAGUCAGUCGAAGAUACCAGCUGGCUGCAACUGUUUAUUAAAAACACAGCACUGUGCAAACACGAAAGUGGACGUAUACGGUGUGACGCCUGCCCGGUGCCGGAAGGUUAAUUGAUGGGGUCAGCGCAAGCGAAGCUCCUGAUCGAAGCCCCGGUAAACGGCGGCCGUAACUAUAACGGUCCUAAGGUAGCGAAAUUCCUUGUCGGGUAAGUUCCGACCUGCACGAAUGGCGUAAUGAUGGCCAGGCUGUCUCCACCCGAGACUCAGUGAAAUUGAACUCGCUGUGAAGAUGCAGUGUACCCGCGGCAAGACGGAAAGACCCCGUGAACCUUUACUAUAGCUUGACACUGAACAUUGAGCCUUGAUGUGUAGGAUAGGUGGGAGGCUUUGAAGUGUGGACGCCAGUCUGC